Molecule: ribosomal RNA, 253 nt
Filed under: uncultured bacterium
Lineage: Bacteria
Description: partial 16S ribosomal RNA
Rfam family: Bacterial small subunit ribosomal RNA
Source: RNAcentral
UACGUAGGGGGCAAGCGUUGUCCGGAUUUAUUGGGCGUAAAGAGCGUGUAGGCGGUUCGGUAGAUCCGUUGUGAAAACUCGAGGCUCAACCUCGAGACGCCGAUGGAAACCAUCGAACUAGAGUCCGGAAGAGGAGAGUGGAAUUCCUGGUGUAGCGGUGAAAUGCGCAGAUAUCAGGAAGAACACCCGUGGCGAAGGCGGCUCUCUGGGACGGUACUGACGCUGAGACGCGAAAGCGUGGGGAGCAAACAGG